RNAcentral lists this transfer RNA (75 nucleotides) under Methanobacteriota archaeon. RNAcentral's name for it is "Euryarchaeota archaeon (groundwater metagenome) tRNA-Ser". The record is from RNAcentral. Lineage: Archaea; Methanobacteriati; Methanobacteriota.
GGGCUCAUGGUCUAGCUGGUUACGCUGCCCGGGGGAACAUGGAGAAGAUCUCCAGUUCAAAUCUGGAUGGGCCCA